Molecule: small RNA, 29 nt
Filed under: Bombyx mori (domestic silkworm)
Lineage: Eukaryota; Metazoa; Arthropoda; Insecta; Lepidoptera; Bombycidae
Description: ovarian small RNA-36298
Source: RNAcentral
UUAAAAGAAGAGAUGUGGCUUGUCGACUA